This 715-nucleotide ribosomal RNA is filed under the name uncultured bacterium. RNAcentral's name for it is "bacterial SSU rRNA". It matches the Rfam family "Bacterial small subunit ribosomal RNA", at positions 8 to 716 of the family's 1533-position model. The record is from RNAcentral.
AGAGUUUGAUCCUGGCUCAGGAUGAACGCUAGCGACAGGCCUAACACAUGCAAGUCGAGGGGCAGCACAUGAGUAGCAAUACGAUGGUGGCGACCGGCGCACGGGUGAGUAACACGUAUGCAACCUACCUUCUACCAGGGGAUAACCCGUUGAAAGACGGACUAAUACCCUAUAAUACAGGGGCUCCGCAUGGAGAUAUUUGUUAAAGAUUCAUCAGUAGAAGAUGGGCAUGCGCAUGAUUAGCUAGUUGGCGGGGUAACGGCCCACCAAGGCAUCGAUCAUUAGGGGUUCUGAGAGGAAGGUCCCCCACACUGGUACUGAGACACGGACNNNACUCCUACGGGAGGCAGCAGUGAGGAAUAUUGGUCAAUGGGCGAGAGCCUGAACCAGCCAAGUCGCGUGAAGGAAGACUGUCCUAUGGAUUGUAAACUUCUUUUGCACGGGAAUAAAGUGGGCUACGUGUAGCCUUUUGUAUGUACCGUACGAAUAAGGAUCGGCUAACUCCGUGCCAGCAGCCGCGGUAAUACGGAGGAUCCGAGCGUUAUCCGGAUUUAUCGGGUUUAAAGGGUGCGUAGGUGGAUUGAUAAGUCAGUGGUGAAAGUUUGCAGCUUAACUGUAAAAUUGCCGUUGAAACUGUCGGUCUUGAGUGCAAAUGAGGNAGGCNGNAUGCGUCNNGUAGCGNGAAAUGCUUANNUAUGACGCANANUCCGAUUGC